UGGGCUGGGAGGGGAAGGGAACAAUAACACACUUCUCACUUUAGCUCCAUGGCUCAAAGCAUUUAGUAGGGAGCUGGUACAAGGGGAAAAAAGAAAAGGGAAUUUAUGGUUUGAAAUCCUACAUGGCUCUUCUUGCCAACAAAAACACACGGCUCCCACAGUCUGACCUGCUCAAACAGCCAUCUAGGCUUUAGGGGCUGAAGCCUAAUGGUUCCCCAGGGGCAAAGCUGCAGUUAUGCCAACAGCCAUCAAGAGGAACCAACCGGAAAAUUCCACUCAUUCUGCCACAUGGCUGAGUUGUAAAGCAGAUCCCGCCCCUCUCCGCACCCAGUUAGGAAGGAAGAAUGGAUAGCAGUACAGAAAGUCAGUUUCAAACACGCUGCAAAGCUGACCCUGAAUAACCUCAUUUUCUCUCUUGGACCCUGAACAUGAGCCAGUUACCUGUGACUUAAUACUUUUCUACCCACCUCAUCUCAGUGCGAGACCAAGGGCCAUUAUGUAGACCCCUCUCUCAAUAUGACCAAUUUAAAGUGACUGUCUACAUACCUUCCUCGGCUCUAAAACACAGAGGGAUAGUUGUGAACAGAAAUGCAUUCAUUUGGCAAGUAUUUACAAGGACUACUAUGAGAAUGACACCAAGAAAAGUUCUGUGGAAGAUAUAAAAAAGAGAACAGAGCCUGCUCAAGGAGCUCACAAUCUGGUUGAAAGAUAAUAGAUGAAACAGCAAAAAGUUAAACAGCAACACAACAGAAGAGGCAAAGGUGAGAUGUGAUGGACACCCUUAGUCACUGUUGGUAAGAAUACAAUUUAUACAGCUUUCCAAGGAGGCAAAUGUUGGCAGUAGACACACAGAAAAAGACCAAAAGAAAUACACCCACCUGUGUUUCAGUUUCCAAGCACAGAAGAACAUCCAGAGCAAAGAGCAUCUGGGCAUGGUCAGCAGGCCGGAAUGGAGUGUGCUCAUGUGAGGAAGCGCGUGUAGGUGGGACAGGGAAGGUAGGAGGUGAUGAGAGAAUGGUAACUGGGAAACAGUAAAUGACAAGGGAAGUAUGGUGGGUGAGGUCACCGGAUUAAACAAUACAAAUCUAAGGUUUGGGUUAUCGCUACUCCUUUGGGAGACAGAGAUGAGCCUCUGGGUGGGGUUGGGGGGGAGGUAAUCGGCAGAAAAAUGUGUUCCUGUGAAUGUUCUGCUCGCUUUCCUCCAGCUCCCUCAUUCCAAUCGCAUUCCAGCUUACAGAAGAUAAAGCUGGGUGGGGAUUUUUGUUUAUCUUUCUAAGAAGCCCUGAGAACAGAGAAGGAAGAUGUCGGGCCGCAAGGUCCGGGUGAGAAAGCUGCCUCCACAGAACACAAAUUCAUUUUAUUUCCCACCAAGAUUCCCACUGAGCUGCAAAAUGCGAUUCUUCGAGUUGAGUAUUCUUACUUCCCUAUAUUACAGAUGAAGAAACUGCGCUGUAGAGAAGUUAACUAAUUUGUCCAAAGUCACACAACUUUUUAAGUGGUAGGGCUGUGAUUCCCACCCAGGUCUGACGCCGAAGUCGAUGCCUUUAGCCAAAUAACUACUGAGUAGCCAGGGAAGAAAUCAGAAGUCAGAUUCUUUCCUCAGCCACGUCCAGUCUACUAAUAACCUCAUCCAAGACAAUCUUCUAGGCUCAUUAAAAGAUGUUCUUCCCCAUACCCUUCCCUCCCCAGUGAAUCUUCUGCCCAUUCAUUGUUACACUCUAUGUAAUCAACCAACAAAAGAAACUCAGGGCAGCCACUCACCUAAGCCUGCCCGCUUUCCCCUUGAGAGUGUACUAUCCAUCCCUUAGUAAAU
This is a non-coding RNA of Vicugna pacos (alpaca), 1813 nucleotides long. Lineage: Eukaryota; Metazoa; Chordata; Mammalia; Artiodactyla; Camelidae. The record is from RefSeq and is a predicted model, not a curated record.